Regulatory RNA element from Aureimonas sp. Leaf454, 140 nucleotides. It matches the Rfam family "speF leader". From Rfam's summary of the family: This family is a putative regulatory RNA structure that is found upstream of the speF gene encoding ornithine decarboxylase in Agrobacterium tumefaciens and other alpha-proteobacteria. The record is from Rfam. Lineage: Bacteria; Pseudomonadati; Pseudomonadota; Alphaproteobacteria; Hyphomicrobiales; Aurantimonadaceae.
CUCCCGGUCUCCACAUCCGGGAAUUCUGAAGAGGCACACCCUCAUUGCCCUAAGUGCGGCGGGUUCAAGCCCUCCAAGCCAAGGCAGACAUAUCGGAACCUCAUGCGUGCGCGUCACGCCAUGGGUUCUCUCAACGUCGC